Molecule: long non-coding RNA, 2148 nt
Organism: Anas platyrhynchos (mallard)
Lineage: Eukaryota; Metazoa; Chordata; Aves; Anseriformes; Anatidae
Source: RefSeq, a predicted model, not a curated record
AUAAACCCACGCAUCACAUGUUGCCAGCUGAAACCCUGGGGGAGCUGGGAGCCCCUGUUAUUCCAAAAUGAUCGGUAGGACUGUCACUUUCCUUGCCAAAUGCUUUAAACCAGUGUCCCACCUGAGAGCUUUUAGGGAAGUUGCACUUUAUUUGCUGUAUUUGGGUAACAAUGACAAGGAAAAUGUCAACAAGCGCAUUUCACUUUUUAUAUUUUUUCCUCUUCUGUGGUGAUAUCAGACAGCGGCAAGUGAAGGUGUUCCCUCGUGCCUCUAGUAGAUGGAACAAACAGGAGCCAUACAUUAUCCUGUGUUCACUGCUACCAAUCUUAAAACUCUUGAAUUAUUAACAACCCCGGCUCUAGAAAGAUAAUGGAACUCUAACUGUAUUUGUAGUGACAAUAACCUAGAGCAAUACCAGAUGCUGACUUGUACUCACAGAAGUAGUAAGCUUUUGAGCUUGAUCAUUUGAAUUUGAGAACCAUUUGCAUUUGGACAUGCUGACCUACUUGCCCUGGUGCUUAGGAAAACUAUGUGUGAAGGGUCAGGAUGCAUAUCACUCAGCUCUAUUUGGAUCUACAUAAAACCACUUUCUAACAUUUUUAAUAAUCCUGUGUAUAACUCUGAUAAAUCCAGCCUGAACUCUAGCUCCCACAUCUUGCACUGUAGAUUUUGGCAAUGUUCACCUUGAGCUGUUCCAGUUGCCCGGAGGUCUUGUGCACCCAGAGAUUCCAUGGAGAACGUGGACAGGUCAGACUUGUCCUUUCCAUUUAUUUGCUGGAGACUGAGCCUUGAAGUCCAAAGGAAGACCAAGUUCUUCUGGUACCGAAGGAGAAAGGUCUCGCACUUUGCUCAUUCCUGUUCAUUCCUUGCCAUGAUCCCGAGCCUCCCUUCGCCCUUUCUGGACAAAAGGCUCUGGCCAUUGCCUGCAGGCAAGGUAGGCUGAGGCAGUUCAAUCACCUGGAAAACGCUGUGAUCUGAAUUCAGCUGUCAAGGCUCCCAUCAGCAGACAAGCACCAGAUGGGCCUCAGGCAAGCAACGGUUGAACGUGUUUGGGAGUUAGAGAAGCAACAGAGAUCAAAAAGAAAAUCAAGGUCCUCCUCUUUCACAGCAGCAAGUAGUUUUUUGGCUUGCUCUAGAAGAGAAUUUCAGCUCAGUCUGGCAUUUCAUUUAUGUCUGUAACAAUCUUGAUUUUAACAAGAUGCUGAUGGGUGGUUUAUAAAUAAAUGUAUAGAUAACUUAUUUAUAGCUUUGACAAGGAAAUGUAUAAAUUAGUAUAACUAGAUAAAAAUGUGCUUUUUUUUGUUGAGCUCUUGCGUAGUUGUAUAAUAGUCUUAAGUCUUUAACUUGCCAUAUAGAAACUCAGAAUUUCUGAUACAUGUUCCUGACUGCUUUUGACAUGGUCUUGACAGUUAAAAUCUUUGCUUGUAAUAUAUGGUUUUAUAAGGGCCAUAAUUUAAGACUGCCUGCAGUAGCUGAAUAACAGGUUAAUGCUAAAAUUGACUUUAUUUUUACUCUCCUUACCAUUUAUGAGUGUUGAGGUAAAGUGCAUUAGUACAACAGAAGUACAAAAUCCUAUUUGUUAUAGUACCUCUUAUUCUUGUCUCAAAUUUUCUGUUACCCUGUGCAUCUUGCUUACCUAUGCAGAGAGAUUGAAUAUUUCUAUGUGAAAUAGCUGCACUUUUUUUAUGUGCAAAAUGUCUUGUACUUGACUGCAUGCGCGUGUAUUUCAGUGUUGAGGAAUUAAAGCAUGUUGUAGAACUUCUGAAGAAAACUUGUAAUUAAACAGUUUAAUUUUAAAACACAGUGUGCUGGGCAUAGUAACCAGCACUCAUUAUUUCUGUGUGUUUAAAAACACACAAUAUAAGACAAUAUAAGACAAAGCAAAGUAUUUGGAAUGCUUCUUUUAGUAUUGAAUCAACUGAUUUGGAGAACUGAAGAAGUAUUGGCUUUUGCCUGUAUGACUGAUCUGUGCUAGAGACAUGGCUUUAAACAUUUGCAGCCCUGUAGCUAUGUCCUGUAGCAACACACAGCAUGCUGCAGAACAGCCAAACUAGCAGUUUCUUCUAACAGCUUUUCAUUAAAGGAGAUUUGAAAGAAAUCAGUGUAUCUUUAUGCGCAAGUGGUGGAUGUAACCGGGUCAAGAAGCAG